This is a non-coding RNA of Anas platyrhynchos (mallard), 7351 nucleotides long. NCBI's taxonomy places the organism in Eukaryota, Metazoa, Chordata, Aves, Anseriformes, Anatidae. The record is from RefSeq and is a predicted model, not a curated record.
UGAGAUUAAAAGCAAAAACAAACAAAAAAAACCCACCCCAAAUCCCACCCAUAUGUCUGGGAAAAGCCUGGUAUGUUAAUCCAGAGCACUCUGUCUCCCUACCUCAUUCUGAAGUGGUCAGAAACCUUUCUAAAGGCACCAGGGUGGUCAGCCAGGCCUGAUUUGGAAGCCACUCUUUAAUUUUAUUUUUUUUUCUCUUCCAUUUGGGCUGUUGUCUGCUCCUUCUCCAAGUUGUUCAGCAAGAUGCGACACAAAGGCACGGAGAGAUGUAUUGUUGUUAUCGGUGGUUGUUGUUCCUAAGUCUCUAUUGAUUUUUAUGAAAGAAAUAAUAACAACGUGUGUGAGGGAUCCGGCUAACAAAAGAGGUCCUGCAGUACACAUCUCGAAUUAAAUAUACAGAAGCAGGAUCCAGCUGGGAUAUUGACGGGCAGGCACAAAGCGGCGUGAGUCAGCGCGGUGCUGGAGUGAAGGCAGGACUCUGCCUCCACACCUUGCUACCAGAGCAGGUGCUUGGGACCCAGAGUAGCCCCAGCACAUCUCACAUUUUGGAAAUAAAGAAAAAAAAAAAAGCCACGAGGAAGGAAAGCAAAGGGCAGACCUGGUCCUUGUGGCUGCUUGACUCCAUUGACUCCGUGGCUGAUGCAGCCCACGUAGGGAAGGAGGUGAGGAACCAGCUCUGGCAUUGCAACCUCUCAACUUCAUCUGCAUUAAGCCAGCUCCAACACAGGGCUCAAUCUCCAUUUUCCCCUUUCUACCCUUAAUUUUGCAUGCCCUCACUUGUGGAUGUAACCCACAAGUGAGACCUUUUUGCUGUGGUUCCCUGGUGGGAGCAGAAGCGACCUGACCUGACGUGAAAAAGCACCGUGCUCUUCGUGGCUCUGUGCCUGAUGCCUCGUCCAGGAGGCCUGAGAAAUUCAGACAAGGCUCAGGUAAUCCCGUAAUGUCAGAACUUGUCUCUCCCCUGACUUUACAAGGAAUUCCUGAGCAUAAUAUUGAAUCACAACCGUAUCUCUGCUCUUAAAUCAUUUCCCCUAGCAAAACAUCACCCCGUAGAGGAAGUCCUUUCAGCGAAGACAAAAAUGAAAGCGUUUAUCGGUUUGAAAAGAUCCCUCUGUGUGCCAGAAUCAGUGAGAGAGAGAGAAUGGAAGUGUUAGUGCCUCCGGCGAUGCCUUUGCAAGGCUGUUUGUCAUCCCAGCCCGAGAAGCUGAGCACACACAAAUAUUAAACUAAUAUUUUUGGCGCUUGGUGAGUUUUGAUCGGCGGUUCGCGGCGCCUGAGGCAGCGAGCAGGAAUGAGAUGCAGUAUCCUGGAGCUUCGUAUUCGUGGCUGAGUUGACGCUCCUUUUAUAUUUAUUUAUAAGUAUGUGUGACUCUUAUUAUUGCUAUUUAUCUCCAGUGUGAGAGAGGGAGAUGCUAAUGAUAGCCAGUAGCAGCACCCACCCAAGACUGCCAAGUCAGGAAGCAAAACAGCAAAAUAAAGUGUUCUGGGGCCUCGAGACCCUGCCUGCACCAAAUUGAUGACGCAGCAGGAUUGUGCUCCAACGUGAGCAGGGAGCUGGCUGAGGAUGCGCAGGAAGCCUCGUUUCCCAAAUCUCCCUGCUUCGGGGUCAAAAAUCCUCCUUCCUACCUAGGUACGGGCUGAAAACCAGCAAAAAAAGGAACCUGAGAGCUGGUUAAUCUCCACAAGGUCGAGGUUGGUGCGGAUGCUCCUGCAGGCAGUGGGAUGGAAGCCUGUCCUGAAGUGGUGCUACCCGAUGUGACUUUGAGGAGCUGGGUUGGUUUAUUUUUUUUUAUUUCUUUUUCUUUUUUUUUCUUGUACAAAUGCAGAGGGAAAAUAAACACGGCUGUCAACCCGUGACCCUUCUGAGCAGCCGAGGCCACCCCUCGUGCUCCAAAUAGCCGCUGUCGGCUGAGAUGUGCUUUGUGGGGAGCGUACAAUUACGUGGGCUCUUUCAGCAUCUGGGAGCGGUGUAAGCUGUUAUUUUCUUGAGCGAGGAAGAGGUUGAGAGGUUCAGGAGACAACAGGCAGCUCUGCGAGGAAGCCACAGUUAACCCCGAGUUAAAUUUAACUCCCUGGGAGCAUCGGGAGCCUUGCGGCACACGAGGACGGGCACCCUCCUGCUUGUGGCCUCCUGCAGGGAGCUCCUCCGGCUCCAAGCUGCUUGGUACAAGGAGGUUUUGGGGCAGGAAGGAGCUGAAUGCUAAAGAGGAGAAAGGACGAGAGGUUCCCUUCCCAGCCGUCUGCGAGGGUGACUCACCCUUCCCAAAUUCCUGGCAGUUUCUCUCAGUGACCAGCAGCUCUAGCUCGCGUUGCUGAUUCAUAACUGCUGGAAGCUUCUCUGCCUGGGUUCGGGCUAGGAAAAUUGAUGUGUUGGCUCUGAUCUCACAAGAAGUUGUCGUAGAGAGGGCAAGGGGCAGCCCGAGAGAAAGGAGGGAGGGCAGCAAGAGAAGAUGUAGGGAGGAAGAGGUAAAAGAAGAGGAGGCGGUACCCAAGACGGAAAAUGUGUUUGGAUUUCAAGUGAUGGGGAAAAACACGUAGCUGAUCCCAAGCCAAGCAACUGAACAGCUUGAUGUGGUGCGUGAUGCACAGCUCUGCUGCCACUGAUUUCUUAUUGCGGCAGGGAUAUUAGUAAUAAAAUCAAUAGCAAUAGUUAGCGAGGCCUAAUAACUACGCAGAUUCAGGUCAGAUUAGAUUGAUAUCGCUUCUCCUAAUAAUCCACACUCGUUGCUGUCACGUGCUAGGUAGAAAUAGAUAGUGUCUUUAAUUAAAAACAGGGGCUCCAGCACUUCUAUUCACUUCGUCAUAACUGGAGAUGGCCCAGUCCUUACCCCAGCAAUGCAAUGUGUCCUGAAGGCUUUCUAAAUGAGAAGAAGGCCUCCGUUGUUUCCUUGGAGCUGUUUCUAAAAUAACCAAAUGUUGUAACUCAAAGGUCAUAGCACAAACACCGUCUUUGUCGGCGGGUGAGUUGGCUGCGUUGACCUCGGGUAUUUUCGACUUGUGCGUGCUCCCCAGCCACCCAGCUGGAGGAACCAGCAGCUUGUAGCGUCCAGAAAGCUGGGUCUGUGGUGGGAGAGCAAGGAGAGGGGACUUGGCUGAGCUUUUGGGGACGUCCCCUGCAAGAAGACAAGGUGCCAGGGGGUGAGAUGGGACCCAGGACCUGCAUGGUGUCAGGCAGCAGAGCUUUGUCCUUGCCUGCCCUUGGAUAAAAAGGGCGUUUUGCAGAGCUGAGCCUGGCUGCUGGGCUCAGCAGGCUGGGUUUGGCUGGCUGAGGAGCACGAGUUGCUGGCCUGGGGAGGCAGCUGAUGGAGCAGCACAAAGGGUUCCUGACCCCAGAGAAUCUCGAGACCAUGGCAGGGUGACUCCUGGGGAUGCUUCCCUUUGGAUGAUUAUUACAAAAAGAAAAAGAAGAAAACACAAAACACCACUAUGCCGCCAAUGCCCAUGCUCUGAAGCUGCUGGGAAUGAAGCUCUGCACCGUGCAAAAGCCCCCAGACUGACCUUGCAGCAACUCCUGGUGUUCAGACAUCAGGUGUCGUGUCUACGCCUCGUGCUGGGGCAUGACCAGAGCCCUUCAGGUGUUCGUGCCAAAAAAAUACACGUGUUGGAGCCCCUGCUUGCAGAUGAGCUGGGUCAGGCUGUGGUCACCACCCCUUGCCCCGGCUCGAGGUGACGGCCAUGCCCAGCAGCUCACCCCGGGGACCCGGCUGGUGGCCUCAAUCAAUGUGCUUCCACGAAAAACGCCAGCGUAGAGAAAACAGCAUAUUUAGAAGCAAAAGGCUCACCGGGUUUUAUUGAAUUUGUUCCAAGCCGUUCUGCGUUCAAUCACCCAGAAACUGUCUCCCUGCAGGCAACGAGAGCUUCUACUAACGAGUGUUUGCUGUACGAAAUAGCCCGGCUUGUACUUCCCGAGGGCUGUGCUCGGCGCCUGCCCUGCGCUGGGGCUCCUGCCUCCUCUCCUCCUUGUGCCUCGGUCGUGGGAACCAAACCUCAUGCAAAAGGGGAAGAAAAAGGAAGAGGGGAGGAGGAGAAAGGAUAAGAAAAUGUACCUACUGGGUUCUGCUCUGGUGCCCAGGAGGAAAAACUGCAUCCUGCACCGGAGCAGCAUCACCUGAGUGAUUAUCUCCAUCUUCCUUGGGAUGGAAAGGGAGGUUCUCCACCUGGAUGGUCCGAGUUAUCCAUCCCAGCAGGCAGGGCUGCCUGCCCGUGCCCAAGCUGGGCUGUGUUUUGGGAAGCUUUGAACCCUGCGGUGGCCGGGCAUUGAGUAGGCAGCGGGGAUUUUUCUCUUGGCAGGAGCCAGGUCUAAAUCCUUUCUCUUUGUGGAAAGGAGGCAAGAAAAUGCACGUGCUGCUCCUGGGGAGGGGUGUCCGUGCUGUGCCUCUGAUGCUGGAGCCAGGAAGCAUCAAAUCACCUUUUGCUCCUCUCCUUGGGUCUCACUCCCCCUUGGUGCUCUUCUGGCUGGCUCACACUUGCUGUUGGGCUUUGUGCACCCUUCAAAGCCUAUCAGUGCUGUGUUUUCUGCGUUUUUGGGGUCUAAUCAGGACAAACUUACCAGGCCUGGGCUUUAUCUCGCUUGCAGUGGUUAAAAACAGCUCCACGCUGAUUUAGAAACAUCAGGAGGCAGGAGCUGUUCCUCCCCGGGCACCCUGGAGAGAGCACAGCCAGAGUUUCCCCAAAGCACGUGGGAACACCGCUUCCACCACAAGUUUUGUUGGGGCUGCAUUUACUGCCCAUAUAUAACAGAUCUGCCUAUGUCUCUGCUUCUCUGGGUCCAAAUAUCACGCUUCCCACCCAGCUGCACCAUAUUUGUGGAGCUAGGUUUGUAUUUGUGCUUUUUUGGGAUGUUUCUUGUUUGGCUCCUGUUUGAUUUCUGUUUUUUCUUUGUGCUCAAGCGCCCCUUUGGGCCCCAGGGACCAUGUCCCAGGAUGGCUGGAGGGCAGCACCUGCCCUCUUCCCACUUGCUGGGGGUCCUCUUUGCCCUGUCUCUACCCAGCCACAAGUCUGCUGGCUUUCACGUGGCUUUUUGCUCCUCCAGAUGUGCCAGCCUGCGGUGAAAAAUGGUGAAAUCCUCCGUGAACCCCAGCAGCACAUCCAGGAGGCAAAAAGGUCUAAUAAAUAGUGCUUCCUGCUGCCUUCGGCUCCUGCCCUGAGACAGGAGGAGAAGCGAGAGGCGGGAGAGCGGAUCUGAUAGCCCCGGCGCCUGUGCUCGUCCCUUCCUGCCCUGUAACUGCUGUGACUCUGGCAUCUGCCCCAGUCUCAGGACAAGGCUUUGAGGAGGGGGACAGAGAGGAGGAAAACCUGCAGGCAUCUUGAGACAAACCCAAGCAGAAUUCGGGAAAGGCAAUAUUUAAUAGCUCAGCAAUCACGCUCUCCUUUCCAAGAUUUGCCUUUGGAGAACUUUAUUUUUCUCUCCGAGUGUCUGUGCUGGCUCAGAAGUGACUCAGGACUUGAUCGAUACCUCUGGUGGCUGCUGCCGCGGCCACUGAUGGGAAGCUGGUGAGAAUUAUUCAGGUGAAAGCCCCGGAGAAACAUCAGUCAGGAGGGGGAAAGACUGGUUUGGGGCCUUUUGAGGUUCAGAUCAGGAGUGCUUCUGUACUCCCCACCAGGACUGUCCUGCCCUCCGACUGUUCUGCUCCCCAGGGAGCCCCUGGGAUCUCUCUACCUGGUAGCACCCCGCAGCUUCUCCUGUCUGAGUGAUUUCUCCUGGGGUUGGAAGCAAUGUGAGCAUCCCCUCGUUCCCAAGCUGUGGUCUUGGUCCAAACCUCUCCAUCCUGCUCGAGGGCCACAUCUGCUUCCCAUUCACCCAGGGGAAAAAAGGACAACUCUUGCUGCACCCAGGAUGCUGGAUGGAGGGAUGAUGGGGCAGGAAGCAAGCAGGAGAAGCCUUCCCUGGGCGCGGGCAGGGCUUUGGAGCACGUCAGUGCUGGCACCCGCUGCUGGAGGAGCUGAGCCAAGGAGGGGAAUGACACAUCCCAGCACAAACAGCCAGGGGAUGACUGCGUGGAGGCGAGGAACGGCAGUGCUUAACCCUUCGGAGAUGCCCAGAAUAAAAAUACAGCAGAGACACGUGGAGGAAAGGAGCCGUCGGGACAAACGGCCAUGGGAAAUCCUGGAAAGACACCGAAGUCCCGCAGGAGCGAGGCACCCAGGUGGGCUGAGGACAGAUCCUGGCACCCCUGCUCCAAACUGGGAAGCUUGCAGCCACGGUUUUGCAUGUGAGCACGGCCUGCAUCCCAUCAGGAGAAGCAGGACGAUGAAACCCAGCAGUAAUAGCACGAAGCCGGGUACUGGGAGCAGAGUGGAACAACAUAAAAUGUCCAGCUUGUUUAUUUUCCCCCCGUUACUUAUCCCAAAUGACCCGAAUGGAUGGAUUCCUCUCUGCCAAGGCCGGGCUGAGCUGAGCCCAGGCGUUAAGCUGGGUGGGAAAGACCUGCCAGAGCACGGGUCAGGGAGAAAUGCUGAAUAUAUUUAUAUAUCACUGGUGAUUUCUGGAGUUCUUCCCAUCCCAGACAACCUGACCUUCAGUUUGUUGAACUCCCUCCUGUGACUUGAACAGAGUCACAAGCUGCUCGUCCCUGGAAGCACCAAGACAUCCCCCAGGAGGUUUAGCCCCAAGUGCUUUAUUUAUCUCCCGACCCCGUGCUGUCCUCAGACUGGGAAGGGACUCGGAAAAUCCCUCGGGUCUGUGAUCCAGGUGUAAUUUUUAGCUGGAUUUCCCAAGGAAAUGGAGCUGGUGGGGUCGUGGCUGUCCGUGUGUGAGCGCCUGGCUGCUGGCCAGUGCCCGUUUCAGCCCUUCUGACCCUAUGGCCUGGUUUGGGGCAGUUUGGAGAGGGUUUGAGGUCUUGGAACAGGACAGAUCCCACAAGAUCUGUAAGCACAGCAUUAGUUUAGCAUCAGUAGGGAAUGCCCUGGUCCCUCAAACCUUGACUUCACUGCCACCUGGGCUUCUUGCGCGCUGGAAAUUGCUGCCAGACAUUUGCUUGCUCGUACAAAAACCCUACGAGAUGAGGGAAAACUGCAGCACGUUGCCACCCGCUCACCACGCAGCGUCCCCAGGCUCCAGGUGGCUUCAGGCAGCAGCAAACAAAACCUCACCAGGACGCCUGGUCCGAGACCCCGGCCCCACCGUCCCGCGCCCUUUCCGGGUCCGUGCUGGCUGUCCCGGUGCUGUUGGCAGGUAUAUUGCAGGAGGAAACUCGCCUUGGCCUCCGAGAGCACCGGGUGUUGCUCCCAGAGGAUGCUCGGGCAGUGACACGCAUUGUUAGCGAGGCCGGGCUGCAUCAGGGAAAACACGUGGAGUGACACUCAGCCAUCGGUGGUGCCUCCCCCUCGCUCGUAACUCUGUCAGCCCUUU